UUAAAAUCAAAUAACAUUUAAAGAUAGAGUAGACACAUACGUAUUAAGUUUGUUCCGGUAUACAUGGGAAUAUUUUUAUGAAAAAGUACAUAAUUGAAAAUGUAUUUUCUGUACCUGGUAAUAGUAACAGCAAUUGUAUAUGGCCUACCUACCAAUGAUGACAACCACGAAAGCCUCAAGUUUGUCCAGGAGCAUGCAAAGCCGCCAGUAAAUAAUGUUUUGGAGAGUAUACUUAUUGAUCGAAUGGAAAACUGGAGUGGAGAGUGUUCAGGAUUUGGUAUUCCUUGUUUAAUGGAUUCACAGUGUUGCAGUGAAAAUUGUGAAAACACACAUCGUGAAUUUUUCUACUGUAUGUCACCUAAGGAAUGACUUUUCUUAAACAGACUUUGAUUUAUUUCCAAGUUCAAUAUAUAUUGUUUGUUUAUAAUUUGUAUUAAGAAAUUGUAUGCAUGUAUGUAUAUCCCGGGAAGUUUUAAAGUACUAGUACAAAAGGCAGAUAACAAAAAAAAAAAAAAACAGUAUCACCCCAAUAUGCAUUCAUGAACAAUUUCAUCUUGUUUUUUUUCUAAAAUUGAUGAGAUAUACUUGAUGUUUCAUUAGAAAAACCAUUGACAACAAUUUUGUUGAAUAAGACAUGAAUCUGUGUUUAAUUGUCAGGGUAGCUUGUGGUCAGUCCAAAUGCAAAAAACUAUAUAAACAGUUAAAUAUAUUAUUAAGUACUAUCAUAACGGGUCUAAAAGGCACAAAUAAGGACUAUGGACUAUGUCCAUGGUUCUUAGUGAUUUUAUUCACGUUGCAUGCAAUAAUAAUACACAUUACAUAGACAGCACGUAACAAAAUAAAACACAACUAUAGGCUAUAAAUCAGUUAUCAUCCCUAACUAUAUUUCUAAAUCUAAUAUUCAAAUGAAAACCCAAAGUCUCAUUAUGAAGUGUUAUAGAGUAAAAUAAAUUUUAUUGUUCCAUCAUAUUUAUAAAAAUGCAAUAUUAUGCGAUGUCAGCAAAAUUAAAUAUAAACACUCUAGAGUUAAAAAUUUGUCAAGACAUAUUCCUUAACAUACACGUGGUAAAUAGGUCAUGCUUGGAACCAUCUGUAGUUACAAUGAAAGGUACCAGUAUACUGCCUACUGGAAAUAAACUCAUCAUAGAUACAAGAAUUGAAAUUUUGUACGCCAAACGCGCAAUUUUCAUAACCCGAAUAAAAUAAAUAUUACAUCACUCUUACAUAAAUUAAAACAUAAUACACUCAAUAAAAUAUCUACCAGU
Molecule: long non-coding RNA, 1265 nt
Organism: Mytilus californianus (California mussel)
Lineage: Eukaryota; Metazoa; Mollusca; Bivalvia; Mytilida; Mytilidae
Exons: 3
Source: RefSeq, a predicted model, not a curated record